AUCGCUUCUCGGCCUUUUGGCUAAGAUCAAGUGUAGUAUCUGUUCUUAUCAGUGAGGGAUUUUAACGUGCUAAACGUGUAUGGUUUUAACGAUAAACAUGACCGGUGUGCACUUUUA
Molecule: small nuclear RNA, 117 nt
Filed under: Oncorhynchus mykiss (rainbow trout)
Lineage: Eukaryota; Metazoa; Chordata; Actinopteri; Salmoniformes; Salmonidae
Description: U2 spliceosomal RNA (ENSOMYG00000052229.1)
Rfam family: U2 spliceosomal RNA
About the family: U2 is a small nuclear RNA (snRNA) component of the spliceosome (involved in pre-mRNA splicing). Complementary binding between U2 snRNA (in an area lying towards the 5' end but 3' to hairpin I) and the branchpoint sequence (BPS) of the intron results the bulging out of an unpaired adenosine, on the BPS, which initiates a nucleophilic attack at the intronic 5' splice site, thus starting the first of two transesterification reactions that mediate splicing.
Source: RNAcentral